GCCCCUGUGGUGAAACGGAUAUCACGACAGGCUUCGGACCUGUUGUUAGAGGUUCAAAUCCUCUCGGGGGCA
Molecule: transfer RNA, 72 nt
Filed under: Parcubacteria group bacterium
Lineage: Bacteria
Description: tRNA-Arg
Rfam family: tRNA
About the family: Transfer RNA (tRNA) molecules are approximately 80 nucleotides in length. Their secondary structure includes four short double-helical elements and three loops (D, anti-codon, and T loops).
Source: RNAcentral